This 253-nucleotide ribosomal RNA is filed under the name uncultured bacterium. Its description in RNAcentral is "partial 16S ribosomal RNA". It matches the Rfam family "Bacterial small subunit ribosomal RNA", at positions 524 to 776 of the family's 1533-position model. The record is from RNAcentral.
UACGUAGGGUGCAAGCGUUAAUCGGAUUUAUUGGGUUUAAAGGGUGCGUAGGCGGUUCGUUAAGUCCGGGGUGAAAGCCCACUGCUCAACAGUGGAACUGCCCUGGAAACUGGCGGACUUGAGUACAGACGAGGGCGGCGGAAUGGAGGGUGUAGCGGUGAAAUGCAUAGAUACCCUCCAGAACCCCGAUUGCGAAGGCAGCUGCCUAGACUGUAACUGACGCUGAGGCACGAAAGCGUGGGGAGCGAACAGG